This 98-nucleotide transfer RNA is filed under the name Micrococcus luteus. RNAcentral's name for it is "tRNA-Ala(ggc)". The record is from RNAcentral. Lineage: Bacteria; Bacillati; Actinomycetota; Actinomycetes; Micrococcales; Micrococcaceae. RNAcentral also lists the same sequence under 2 other names.
GCCGCUGUGGCGCACCCUCGUGGCGCUGUCCAUCCGGCACGUGGGCCCGACGGCGGCCCGCUCGCUGGCCACGGCGUUCGGCUCGAUGGCGGCGCUGC